Non-coding RNA from Subdoligranulum variabile DSM 15176, 225 nucleotides. NCBI's taxonomy places the organism in Bacteria, Bacillati, Bacillota, Clostridia, Eubacteriales, Oscillospiraceae. The record is from Rfam.
GAGAACUCAAAUCUCAAAUUCAGAGGCGAAAUUCCUCUGCCGUACAGAAUCAAUGCCGGAAAGGAGAAAUCCCUCAGCGGUCUGUCAAACCGCAGGCAGUACGAGAGCUAAUACUCCACUGUGCGUUGUCUAUCUGUAAAUAGACAGGGUACAAAGCGUGGUGAAGUCGUAACCUGAAAACCUAAACCGAAAGGCAUGGAUAAUAAUGGUGCGGGCUUCCGAAAC